UGGGGAAUAUUGCACAAUGGGCGAAAGCCUGAUGCAGCGACGCCGCGUGCGGGAUGAAGGCCUUCGGGUUGUAAACCGCUUUUGAUUGGGAGCAAGCGAGAGUGAGUGUACCUUUCGAAUAAGCACCGGCUAACUACGUGCCAGCAGCCGCGGUAAUACGUAGGGUGCAAGCGUUAUCCGGAAUUAUUGGGCGUAAAGAGCUCGUAGGCGGUUUGUCGCGUCUGGUGUGAAAGUCCAUCGCUUAACGGUGGAUCUGCGCCGGGUACGGGCAGGCUAGAGUGCGACAGGGGAGACUGGAAUUCCCGGUGUAACGGUGGAAUGUGUAGAUAUCGGGAAGAACACCAAUGGCGAAGGCAGGUCUCUGGGUCGUCACUGACGCUGAGGAGCGAAAAGCGUGGGGAGCGAACAGGAUUAGAUACCCUGGUA
RNAcentral lists this ribosomal RNA (426 nucleotides) under uncultured bacterium. Its description in RNAcentral is "partial 16S ribosomal RNA". It matches the Rfam family "Bacterial small subunit ribosomal RNA", at positions 355 to 792 of the family's 1533-position model. The record is from RNAcentral.